This 76-nucleotide microRNA precursor is filed under the name Brachionus plicatilis. RNAcentral describes it as "Bpl-Mir-12593_pre stem-loop". The record is from RNAcentral. Lineage: Eukaryota; Metazoa; Rotifera; Eurotatoria; Ploima; Brachionidae.
GCCCCUAUUUUGGAGAAUAAUGAUGGUUAUGAAGUAAACUUUGUAAGUUUAUUCACAUUCUCUUAGAUAGUGGCCU